RNAcentral lists this ribosomal RNA (450 nucleotides) under uncultured Glomeromycotina. RNAcentral describes it as "SSU rRNA". It matches the Rfam family "Eukaryotic small subunit ribosomal RNA", at positions 569 to 1023 of the family's 1831-position model. Lineage: Eukaryota; Fungi; Glomeromycota. The record is from RNAcentral.
AGCAGCCGCGGUAAUUCCAGCUCCAAUAGCGUAUAUUAAAGUUGUUGCAGUUAAAAAGCUCGUAGUUGAAUUUCGGGGUCAGCAGGUCGGUCGUGCCAAUGGUAUGCACUGGCCUUGCUGAUUCCUCCCUCUUGAUGAACCGUAAUGCCAUUAAUUUGGUGUUGCGGGGAAUCAGGACUGUUACUUUGAAAAAAUUAGAGUGUUUAAAGCAGGCAAGCGCUUGAAUACAUUAGCAUGGAAUAAUGAAAUAGGACGUUUGAUCCUAUUUUGUUGGUUUCUAGGAUUGACGUAAUGAUUAAUAGGGAUAGUUGGGGGCAUUAGUAUUCAAUUGUCAGAGGUGAAAUUCUUGGAUUUAUUGAAGACUAACUACUGCGAAAGCAUUUGCCAAGGAUGUUUUCAUUAAUCAAGAACGAAAGUUAGGGGAUCGAAGACGAUCAGAUACCGUCGUAG